GACGAACGCUGGCGGCGUGCCUAAUACAUGCAAGUCGAGCGGUAAGGCCUCUUCGGAGGUACACGAGCGGCGGACGGCUGAGUAACGCGUAGGAACAUACCCCAAAGUGAGGGGUAACUGCUCGAAAGAGUAGCUAAUACCGCAUGUGAUCUAAGGAUUAAAGCUUCGGCGCUUUGGGAAUGGCCUGCGUAUGAUUAGUUUGUUGGUGAGGUAAUGGCUCACCAAGACUACGAUCAUUAGCUGGUCUGAGAGGAUGAUCAGCCAGACUGGGACUGAGACACGGCCCAGACUCCUACGGGAGGCAGCAGUAGGGAAUCUUCCACAAUGGGCGAAAGCCUGAUGGAGCAACGCCGCGUGCAGGAUGAAGGCCUUCGGGUUGUAAACUGCUUUUAUAUGCGAAGAUUAUGACGGUAGCAUAUGAAUAAGGAUCGGCUAACUCCGUGCCAGCCGCCGCCGUAA
Molecule: ribosomal RNA, 459 nt
Filed under: uncultured bacterium
Lineage: Bacteria
Description: partial 16S ribosomal RNA
Rfam family: Bacterial small subunit ribosomal RNA
Source: RNAcentral